UGGGGAAUUUUCCGCAAUGGGCGAAAGCCUGACGGGGCAAUGCCGCGUGGAGGUGGAAGGCCUACGGGUCGUCAACUUCUUUUCUCGGAGAAGAAACAAUGACGGUAUCUGAGGAAUAAGCAUCGGCUAACUCUGUGCCAA
Molecule: ribosomal RNA, 141 nt
Filed under: uncultured bacterium
Lineage: Bacteria
Description: partial 16S rRNA
Rfam family: Bacterial small subunit ribosomal RNA
Source: RNAcentral